RNA transcript from Sander lucioperca (pikeperch), 7183 nucleotides. It is a transcript of the gene named RNA-binding protein Musashi homolog 2, with no coding region annotated. The record is from RefSeq and is a predicted model, not a curated record. NCBI's taxonomy places the organism in Eukaryota, Metazoa, Chordata, Actinopteri, Perciformes, Percidae. The transcript has 16 exons.
CCCCCUGUGGGCCAAGGUAGAGCAUGCUGAGAGAGGGAGGAGGGAGCAGGGGGCUGAGCUGAUCCCACGUGUGACGCUUUCAUUCCCGGCUCAGUAAUAUUCUCAUAGCGGGGCUUUGCAUAUCUCCUGCCGUAUCUGUGUGUGUCUGUCACUGUUACUGUAGUCCCAGCCUAUAGUUUGAAAUAGAUAUGGAAGGAGACGGGAGUCAAGCCACAUCCGGAAGCCUAAAUGAUUCACAACAUGACCCGGGUAAAAUGUUUAUCGGUGGCCUCAGCUGGCAAACCUCACCAGACAGCCUUAGAGACUAUUUUAGUAAAUUCGGAGAAAUAAGAGAAUGUAUGGUGAUGAGAGACCCCACGACAAAACGCUCAAGAGGAUUUGGGUUUGUUACGUUUACAGAUGCUGCCAGUGUAGAUAAAGUCUUAGCUCAACAACACCACGAAUUAGACUCAAAGACGAUUGAUCCUAAGGUUGCCUUUCCACGUCGCGCCCAGCCUAAGAUGGUCACAAGAACAAAGAAAAUAUUUGUGGGUGGCUUGUCAGCCAAUACAGUAGUGGAAGAUGUGAAGCAGUAUUUUGAACAGUUUGGGAAGGUUGAUGAUGCCAUGCUAAUGUUUGAUAAGACUACUAACAGACAUAGAGGAUUUGGCUUCAUAACUUUUGAGAGUGAAGACAUCGUAGAGAAAGUCUGUGAAAUUCAUUUUCAUGAAAUCAAUAACAAAAUGGUAGAAUGUAAGAAGGCCCAGCCCAAGGAGGUGAUGUUCCCACCAGGUACACGAGGGCGAGCCAGGGGUCUGCCCUACACCAUGGAUGCCUUCAUGCUGGGGAUGGGCAUGCUGAGCUACCCUAAUAUUGUGGCAACGUAUGGCCGCGGAUACACUGGAUUUGCACCCAGCUACAGCUACCAGUUCCCUGGCUUCCCAGCGACGGCAUACGGACCGGUGGCGGCAGCGGCGGUAGCAGCAGCGCGUGGCUCAGGUAGGGGGGCCCGUGGAAGAGGCGGCUACUUGGCGUACCCACAGAGCACAGGGCCAGGCCUCCCCGAUUAUGGGUUUUACUCUACGCCCAGUGACCAGAGGGGGGGGCCCUGCUCCUUUGCUGACUAUGGCUCCCUGGGGCCCCAAGCGGCUCAGAUGCUGCACAGUGAGCAUGCCACCUCCGCCUGCAACUCCCCCCUCCAGCACCUACACAGCCCGGAUCAAUUUAAGAACCCAGGCGCCAACCCAUCAAGGCCCGGAGGUUUCCCUGGUGCUAACAGUCCAGGGCCUGUUGCUGACCUGUACGGACCUAGCAGCCAGGAUUCAGCUGUGGGCAACUACAUCAGUGCUGCUAGCCCUCAGCCUGGCUCUGGGUUUGGCCCCAGCAUCACAGGCCCGUUGAUUGCGACAGCUUUUACAAAUGGAUACCAUUGAACAGGUGGCCGGUUGCCAUCUCAUCAGAGAUGACAGAGCUGGUAGUAAUGGCAGAGUAUAACUGGUGGCCCAGGAAAGACAGGACGAAGUUUCUAAUUGGCUUUGUGUGCAGGUGAUGCUAUCCAACUUCAAGCACUACAGUGUCACCCAGGCAAAAAGAAAGUUGGAACCAUAUGAAGAAGAAAAGAAAAACGUUAGUCAUCUCAGAAAAAUAACAACUGCUGUACUAUAAUCCAAACCUCCUAUAACUUUACAACCUGGUUUGGUAUGAUGUUUCACGUCGAUUUCAUUCACCAAUUUCCUUCCUCUGUUAGCUUUUGUUUUGAUUCGUUUUUAGAGAGUCAUUUUAGUUUUAAUCUUAAUUUUGUGUCAUUUGAUUUGAUCUUAUAGUAUAUUUGUGUAAAUGGAUUUUGUUUGAAGUGCGGGGGUCAUAGCCAAGAAUAUCUGCAAGUCAUGUCUUCAUCUUUGUGGUGUAAAGGAGAAAUGAUUGGAUGUUCCAAUCAGUCUUUCCACAAAAAUAAAAGAAGCUCAGUGUGGAGAGGCUCGGAGAAAAAAAAAAAAUUAAAUUUUAAGGAAAAUUUAAAGAGGGUAUCUAAGUAAUAAAUCUUAGUAGCUGUUUUCUUUCUUGUGAUGUCUCAUUGUUAGCCAUAAUUACCUAUUUUUGGGCAAUACAAAGAGGACUCCAAUAUUUUUAUGGUCCUUUUUUAUAAGUGUUGUUUUUGUUGUUUAGAAAUAAAUAUAUAUGGUAUAACAAAUUUCAUAUAACUACAUUGUGAAUUCAAACUUGAGAAAAAGAAAUGUAGCUGUACAUAUUAUUCCAGUCACUGCAUAUAACCAACUCAGUGAGAGAAUAGCAUAUUUUUGUGAUGGUGUGUCAAAAGAACAUGUUAUAGCGUGUGAAUAGAAGAAAAAGCUGUAAACAGUUAUUAUUAUACUUUUUCUGCUGGAAGACAGUAUAAACGACCCCAGAGACAAACAGAACACACUUGCUCUGUAAAUACUGAAGCUGAAUAAUUUUACAAGUGUCAUACCAGCAAAUUUACAAAUGGUGAGUUAGUUCAACACAGUUUUAAGAAAUAAAAAAAAGAGCCUGAUUGGUAUCUUUUGUCUAACUGUUAAGAUAUCAGUAUCAUUUCAAAGAGAGAGAGAAACAAAAAGAAGAUUUAAUCCAAAGCACACUGUACUUAGAUGUGAAGAUUAGAACUUGAACCAGGCAUUUUACAGUGCUCUGUGCAUCCUGACACUUUUAUACUCCUGAGAGGAACUUGUUAGUUGUAUGUUAUUGUUUGUUUCACCCUGCUUGUUCCUGAUUCGUUUUUUUUGGAACACAAUUAUCUGGGCUCUGUGCUAGAGCCUUUAUGUAAUGCUUGUUCUCUGAAUCCGUUCUUUUAUGAAUGAAUUAGGAAAAGUAAACAUUUUGAUACCAUACCUCAGCCUUUGUGAGUUCUAUUGGCAGGUUUAAUUUAUUCUAGUGGCAAAAUAAAUGAAAACACUGAAAGGUAAUAAAGCGAGGAAUCAUAAAUGCACUGUGAGUAGUAAAGUACAGGCCAUUUUCCUAUUUGCACAUGUAUAUGUCGGCUUUUAAAAAAAAAAACGGCCCUGUGCUUUAGGAUAGUAUGAAGGAUUUUUGGGUUAAUGUAUUCUCGACUAGACAAACGCUUCAGAGUUUUGAGGUGAGUUAACAGCUUGGGAAGUAGUAACUGAUAUGUUGCAGUGUACACUUGGAUCUCUUUAUAUAUUAGAGCUAUGUCUCAUCUAAAGAUAUUUAUACAGGGUUAAAAUAUGACACUGAAAUAUUCACUCUCUGUCGCUGCACCAGGUUUUACACAUGUGUGUGGUAAUGAUUUAACUCAUGACAAACAUUUAAUAAUAAUAUGCUCCAGUCGGGUUUUUAAAGUCAUUAAUGGAAUGAAUGGUGUGUUUUCUGAAGUACUUUACCUGCUGCAGGUGUAUCUGUUGUUUUCAUUUUACCCACUUUUUGUCUCAUUUCUUUUAUUUCAAAACAACCAGGUAAAGAAAUAUGCUGGAUACUUCUAAAGUAAAUGAUAUGGAGGUGUGAUCAAGUAAUAAUUUAAAGAGGAAAAAAAAAACCUUGUAAUGUUCAAAUGUAAAAGAAAAUAAGAAAUACAAAACUAUAAAAAAAAAAAGAGAAAAAAAGAAAGAUGCUUCUUUGCUGAUUUCAAGUUUAAUCAGAGUUUUAUUGAUACUUUGUGGUUUAUAUAUUAAUAAUUGUAAUAUACUAUUAAAAUGUACUGUGCAUCCAUUGCUUUCUCUCUUUCCAUCCCCCAUCCUCAGAGAUCCUCCUUCUUUUGUUGAUCAUUCAUGUAUUUCAUUAGUGUGUAAAGAAAUCACAGUUAACUUGUAAACAGAGUGCUGUCUUUGAUACCAGUGUAGUGGUCUUUGUUGUUCUCCCUUGCUCUACCUCUCCUUUCUCUCAUAUUUACCCCUCUCCCUCUCGCGCUCUUUUUCUAUCUCCUGUAAUUACAAAGUAGAUGUUAUAUAGCACUCAUUAAUAUAAUACUUGUAGUGAAUAGUGGAUUUAGGACCAGUCAAGAUAGACCUUUCUCUCAAUGAUCUCAUGUCAUUCUGAUAUUUGCAGACAAUUAUUUUGAUAGAGGUUCAUUGUAAUUUAUUCCCUGUAUGUUUUAUUUUUUGGUUUGGUUUUGCCACUCUCACAUGGUUUCAGCUAACCAAAGCUCUCACGGAUGAACAAAAGAGAAGCCGUUGCCGUAAGAUGGAAUUGUACACAAGGCAUUAUUUGGAUCCCCACCCUUGAAUGUUUUAAAAGGGGUGUGCCAUACUACCUUAAAUGCUAACGCUAGAUAUGCAAAACUGUUAUUAUUUGAUUCUUUUUUUAAGAGGGACACAAGCUAUAGUCAUGGACAAAGAUUUCAUGUAAAAAAAAAAUUUCAUAUUUUUUUAAGAAACAUACCAAUGAUUACCACACUAGUCGUAAUAUCAGUCAUAGUGUUAUAUCUUUUAAUGUUUGUACACUUUGGAUAUAUCCCAGAAGCCACUGGCAUAGGUCUUUUUUUUAAAUAAUACUGUUUUUGAUCUCUUAUUUCUCUCAAAACUUCCAUUAAUUAGUCUAAUAAUUUUAAUCUUAGAUUCCGGGAACUAGUUUUUGUUUUAAUCCGUAAUCAAUGUUUUUCAUACAUAUUGACAUCAUAGAGGCGUAUAAGAGACUGUAAAAAUGAAAAAGCCCUCCUGUGAAGACCUCUAGCUCCAAAGGAUUAUAAGCAGCUGUUGGUGUGUAUCAGGGCUGAUUAAUAGAAUAGAUCAAACUCAUGUCCUGACGUUGGACCAGCACCCUAACGCUGUGAUUCAUUGCUACCCUAAAUCAGAGCAGAAAAGAUUAGAUCAAAACUUAAAUUAAAAGCUCAAAGUUUCCUCAAAAUACCAUAUCAAAGGAUGUCCAGAAUUCAGACCUGUUAGAAUUACACACGCAGCUGUGUUCAAGCAAAAAAACAAGCCUAUUAUAAAGCCUCAAGCUGGGCACGCAUUUAUGUUUUUGAGUAUAAUCUCAAUUAAACAUAAUUUAGGUUUAACAGUUAUUUCAUUUAUUUCACCUCAUGGGGUCUUAAAAUUGAAUAUUGUUAAAUUAAUAACAUUAGUCUCUAUUCAUUGUUCUUAUCCAGUAUAGACUGUCAAAUUACAUACAGUAUGUACAGUAAUGGCAGCUUUGUUAGACACAAUAUUCCAAUGAAUCCAGCAAGUAUACAGGACAUUGUAUUAUUUCAAAAACAAAAGACUAUGUCCACAUGUAAUGCAAGUAAAAUCAUAUUAAACUUUAUUGUAAAAUGAUAAAAGUAAUCAAUCUCAUUGGACAAUACAGGAAAAGUUUAGUAUUUGAAAGACUAAGGAAAGCUAAAAAAAUACUUUAUUUUAAAACAUAAAAUAACGUUCUGAGUAUUAAUGCUUAUUUUUGCCUCAUUUGCACAUUUUAGUAUCAGAAAAUAUCUCAACAGUAGAUAAACAAUAAUUCUAAUAGGAGUCUUUAAAUGCACCAACUUUUGUGUAAAGAUAAAAGAAAGUCUUCCUCCUGUUCAAUUGCAGCAUGUCCCUUUUUUCAUCUGAAUAUUUUAUCAAAUAAAGUAUAACUCAAACCACCUACAAACCGAUACAAGAAGCUCAUUAGGAGCUGUAGUUGAUUCCAAUUAUGCUGCCAUUUCAUCUGAAAAACAAAUAACAGUGCAACAAGUAUGAAAUAUAUUAUUUUGUUUUUCUCACUUUUGCAGCGCCUGGUGGCUAAAAGACUAAAAUGAAAUUGCUCAUUUUCCCCUCACACAAUAUAAAAACAGACUCUUGUAUCGUUUUGUGAUCCUGUAGCUUGGACUUUAAGGUAGCAUGGCUCUGUUGCUGUAAUUUCAUUUUAUCUCAAACUGACAGCAGUUUACAGCUGAUGAAUGUUACACAUCUUAGUAGACUAGCGUAUCCAUUUGGGGAGAGGGAAGGGGUCUUGGUUUAAGAAAAAAAAAUUAUCAAAAAAGAAAAAAAGUCAACCUGGAAGGUGUUGACAUUUGUAGUGUACUACCGUAUCCAUUUAAACUUGAAUCUUGAGGCAAGUGCUAGGCAAUGGCCAAACAAUUUAUCCCAUCCGCUGUGGGAAAGCCCCACCCUGAAACCACACACACUUAUGUGAUUUCUGUUGUCUUGGAUUCAAAUCUGUUCUAUGGAUAAGAACAACUGUCUCCCUAAAGCUGGGACAUCAGACGAAGACUGGUUCAGGCUCUGCUCCAUUUUUAAUUAAUUAGACUGACUUUGAAGGCUCAUUGAACGUUCUUGAGCAUUUAUACCCAAAAGAGGCUUAUUCAUAGUGGUGCUAAUGGUUUUAAACCAGACAAUGUGCCCUUAUCUCAUGAGAGAUACUGGAUACCGUCACAGUGACCACAAAGUUAGUUUCCCAGUCCACAAAGUGACUCUCACUAUAACACCACCAUUUCUAGUGUCGGAUCUCUUGAUUCAGGAUAUAUGACAAAGAUGGGUUCAUGUUCACAAAUCUAGACUGAACUCUCCAAGGUGACAGAAAUAGCACAAAUGUACUGUCGUGUUUUAGGGUGAAUUUCCUUUUCAGUCCAAACCAUUGCCAUCUCACCCAUGCUCAUUGCUAAAUAUAUACAUGCAGUUGCAAUAUAUAUGUGGAUAGAUGAAUAUAUAUUUGCAGUUUUCACUCAUUCAACUUUGUCUGAACAAUAUUAGACUGGAGACCUCAGCUGUAUACAGAAUAAUCCUCACACAGCUACAUAUAGUCAUUAUUAGCUUAUGUUCACCAAUACGAGAGUUCACCCCUGGCGUGUUGUCGAGUUUGGAGCAGACCGCAUGGCCUAGAGGGGAGCCUGGAAGCUCUUCAGACUGCAUGGACGGCAGUGUGAGGCUCUGCUGUGCUUCCAUGUUUCUGCAGGCUGAGCACAGAGCUCUCUUCACUGUUGUCUGCCCAUUCCUAACACUUGCCCCUUUUUUUAUGUUAACCGACUUUUUAUGGCGAGAGACAGACAGACUUGACUGACAUCUGAAAGCAUCUUUCAGGUUAUCAUAUGGCUUGCUUAAGCCCUGUUGUAAAAUGUACUAAAAAAAUAAUAAUAAUAAUGAUAAUAAUAUUAAUGGAUGGGGGUCUCUCACAUAUCAAAUGUGGAAAGUCUAAUUUUAUAUUUGUAUUUUCAAAUAAUAAUAUUGACAAAAAAUGUCUGUGAAAGGUUUCCAUCCUCUACUGUGGUCCAGAAAUUGAUGUGUCUGUCUGGAAAAUAAAUAAAAUAAACUGAAUUGUUAUAUGA